Non-coding RNA from Oreochromis aureus, 1486 nucleotides. Lineage: Eukaryota; Metazoa; Chordata; Actinopteri; Cichliformes; Cichlidae. The record is from the annotation of a RefSeq genome assembly.
UACUAUUGGCAACCUCUGAAGUGAUCUGUUGCGCAUUCAAACUAUCCCAUAUUUUCACAUUAAGAAAAACACAUUUAUUAACAUUGGAAUACCAGUAUUUAAUACACUACCAGGACACAUCUUCUUAUUUAAUGUUUUUUCUUUAUUUUCAUGACUAUUCACAUUGUAGAUUCUCACUGAAGGCAUCAGAACUAUGAAUGAACACAUAUGAAUGACCUGACAUCAUGGCUCGUCCUUUCCAUAGCAUUUGUGUUGAACCUCAUCGAUUGCUUUUUUGCUUCCCCCUGAGUUCUUGUGCUGCUCACUAUUUCACCAUGUACCAGGACACACUGAUUGAUGGUGAGUUAAUGAUACUUAACAUUUUAUCUGUCUCACUCGUUUCUCUGUUAUCAUCUCAUCAAAUGUUACAGGUCAGAGUAUGGAGUCCAUUCCUUCCAGUCGUGUAGAGAAAAGGCCUGGGGAGACUCUCAGUUUCUCCUGUAGAGGAUCAGCCUUCAGUUUUUAUUGCUGUGUUAUCUGGUCUUAUCUGAUCUGGGACAGAGAACCUGCAGGAAAACCCCUGGAAUUGAUCGGGAGCGGCUUUUUCAACUUCCAGCAGAAACAGUUAUGCAAGCAGUUUGAGAGGACGUGUAGAAAUCAGCAGAGAUGAUAGCAACAGCAUGGUGUAUUUGAUCUGAUUUGAUUCCAAUUUGAGGCCAGAUGAUUCUACUAUUUAUUACUGUGCCAAAGAGAAACACAGUGGUUAAAGCAGCUGAAGAGGCUUUACAAAAACAUCCUGCCAUCUAUUUUUAGAAGAACCUAAAGGAAGCAGUUGUUCAUCAAAAACAGGGACACCGGCUGAUGAGACAGUUAUCUCUUAUAAUCUGUCAGCAUCCAUCUAUAUGCAAAGCAAACUUCCUGACAGUCUACUAUAAAGACUUGAAAUCAUGCCGCCAGUUAAAACAGAAGAAGAGAAGUUCCCAUCAGAUUAUCUUGAGUACCAAAAUGUUCUCUGUGGCUCUGCUGCUCCUGCUGGCUGCUGGAUCCUGUGUGAAGUGUGAACAGCUGACACAGCCAGAGUUUGUGACUGUGCAGCCAGGUCAGCGCCUGACCAUCACCUGUCAGGUCUCUUAUUCUCUGAGCUACUAUCGGACAGCUUGGAUCAGACAGCCUGCAGGGAAAGGACUGGAGUUUAUUGGAAGUGCACAUUAUGGAUACAGCACAGGGUACAAAGAUUCACUAAAGAACAAGUUCACCAUCAACUUAGACACUUCAAGCAAGACAAUGACUCUAAAUGGACAAAAUAUGCAGCCUGAAGACACUGCUGUGUAUUACUGUGCCAGAGUCUCACAGUAAUACGAAACAUCAGUGGAGCUGAACAAAAACCUCUCACAGCUCUCAAGUUCUUCCAGCUAAACCUUUGUGUAAAACCACCUGUAAUGAAUGUUAGAAUUGGUUGUGUUUCAUUAUUUGCAAAAAAUAAAAAAUAAAAAAAAUAAAUACAAAU